This 253-nucleotide ribosomal RNA is filed under the name uncultured bacterium. Its description in RNAcentral is "partial 16S ribosomal RNA". It matches the Rfam family "Bacterial small subunit ribosomal RNA", at positions 524 to 776 of the family's 1533-position model. The record is from RNAcentral.
UACGGAGGGUGCGAGCGUUGUCCGGAAUCACUGGGCGUAAAGGGCGCGUAGGUGGCGCGAGUAGUCAACGGUGAAAGCCCGGGGCUCAACCCCGGGUCGGCCGUCGAUACUCUCGUGCUUGAGCACUGUAGAGGCAGGUGGAAUUCCCUGUGUAGCGGUGAAAUGCGUAGAGAUGGGGGAGAACACUCGUGGCGAAGGCGGCCAGCUAGACCAGUUCUGACACUGAGGCGCGACAGCGUGGGGAGCAAACAGG